ACCAUACCGCAUGGACACAAUCUUUCUGAUCUAGGAAUAUUCCACCUUCUGCCCAAUUCAAUUAAUAACUCAUGAUUUGAACACCAAAAUCGGAUGAAAUUUGCAAUGUAAACUUUAACUGUUACAGUUUCGAGUAUAU
This is a long non-coding RNA of Haliotis rubra (blacklip abalone), 139 nucleotides long. RefSeq lists it as uncharacterized. Lineage: Eukaryota; Metazoa; Mollusca; Gastropoda; Lepetellida; Haliotidae. The transcript is spliced from 3 exons. The record is from RefSeq and is a predicted model, not a curated record.